AAAGCGUGCGCAGGCGGUUUUGUAAGUCUGUCGUGAAAGCCCCGGGCUCAACCUGGGAAUUGCGAUGGAGACUGCAAGGCUUGAAUCUGGCAGAGGGGGGUAGAAUUCCACGUGUAGCAGUGAAAUGCGUAGAGAUGUGGAGGAACACCGAUGGCGAAGGCAGCCCCCUGGGUCAAGAUUGACGCUCAUGCACGAAAGCGUGGGGAGCAAACAGGAUUAGAUACCCCAGU
RNAcentral lists this ribosomal RNA (230 nucleotides) under uncultured bacterium. Its description in RNAcentral is "partial 16S ribosomal RNA". It matches the Rfam family "Bacterial small subunit ribosomal RNA", at positions 562 to 791 of the family's 1533-position model. The record is from RNAcentral.